GACGAACGCUGGCGGCGUGCCUAACACAUGCAAGUCGAACGGAAAGGCCCUGCUUUUGUGGGGUUCUCGAUUGGCGAACGGGUGAGUAACACGUGUGUAACCUGCCCCUGACUUUGUGAUAACUUCAGGAAACUGGGGCUAAUACCGGAUAUGAGCUCCUGCUGCACGGUGGGCGUUGGAAAGUUUCGGCGGUUGGGGAUGGACUCGCUGCUUAUCAGCUUGUUGGUGUGGUAGUGGCUUACCAAGGCUUUGACGGGUAGCCGGCCUGAGAGGGUGACCGGCCACAUUGGGACUGAGAUACGGCCCAGACUGCUACGGGAGGCAGCAGUGGGGAAUAUUACACAGUAGGCGGAAGCCUGAUGCAGCAACGCCGGGUGCGGGAUGACGGCUUUCGGGUUGUAAACCGCUUUCGCCUGUGACGAAGCGUGAGUGACGGUAAUGGGUAAAGAAGCACCGGCUAACUACGUG
RNAcentral lists this ribosomal RNA (468 nucleotides) under uncultured bacterium. RNAcentral's name for it is "partial 16S ribosomal RNA". It matches the Rfam family "Bacterial small subunit ribosomal RNA", at positions 28 to 507 of the family's 1533-position model. The record is from RNAcentral.